Molecule: ribosomal RNA, 427 nt
Filed under: uncultured bacterium
Lineage: Bacteria
Description: partial 16S ribosomal RNA
Rfam family: Bacterial small subunit ribosomal RNA
Source: RNAcentral
UGGGGAAUAUUGGACAAUGGGCGAAAGCCUGAUCCAGCCAUGCCGCGUGUGUGAAGAAGGUCUUCGGAUUGUAAAGCACUUUAAGUUGGGAGGAAGGGCAUUAACCUAAUACGUUAGUGUUUUGACGUUACCGACAGAAUAAGCACCGGCUAACUCUGUGCCAGCAGCCGCGGUAAUACAGAGGGUGCAAGCGUUAAUCGGAAUUACUGGGCGUAAAGCGCGCGUAGGUGGUUCGUUAAGUGGGAUGUGAAAUCCCCGGGCUCAACCUGGGAACUGCAUUCAAAACUGACUGACUAGAGUAUGGUAGAGGGUGGUGGAAUUUCCUGUGUAGCGGUGAAAUGCGUAGAUAUAGGAAGGAACACCAGUGGCGAAGGCGACCACCUGGACUAAUACUGACACUGAGGUGCGAAAGCGUGGGGAGCAAACA